AGUGAACGCUGGCGGUAGGCCUAACACAUGCAAGUCGAACGGCAGCACAGUAAGAGCUUGCUCUUACGGGUGGCGAGUGGCGGACGGGUGAGGAAUACAUCGGAAUCUACUUUUUCGUGGGGGAUAACGUAGGGAAACUUACGCUAAUACCGCAUACGACCUACGGGUGAAAGCAGGGGAUCUUCGGACCUUGCGCGAUUGAAUGAGCCGAUGUCGGAUUAGCUAGUUGGCGGGGUAAAGGCCCACCAAGGCGACGAACCGUAGCUGGUCUGAGAGGAUGAUCAGCCACACUGGAACUGAGACACGGUCCAGACUCCUACGGGAGGCAGCAGUGGGGAAGAUUGGACAAUGGGCGCAAGCCUGAUCCAGCCAUACCGCGUGGGUGAAGAAGGCCUUCGGGUUGUAAAGCCCUUUUGUUGGGAAAGAAAAGCAGCAGGUUAAUACCCCGCUGUUCUGACGGUACCCAAAGAAUAAGCACCGGCUAACUUCGUG
This 492-nucleotide ribosomal RNA is filed under the name uncultured bacterium. RNAcentral's name for it is "partial 16S ribosomal RNA". It matches the Rfam family "Bacterial small subunit ribosomal RNA", at positions 29 to 507 of the family's 1533-position model. The record is from RNAcentral.